AUAGCCCGGCGAAAGCCGGAUUAAUACCGCAUACGACCUACGGGUGAAAGCGGGGGAUCGCAAGACCUCGCGCUAUUGGAGCGGCCGAUGUCAGAUUAGGUAGUUGGUGGGGUAACGGCCUACCAAGCCUACGAUCUGUAGCUGGUCUGAGAGGGCGACCAGCCACACUGGGACUGAGACACGGCCCAGACUCCUACGGGAGGCAGCAGUGGGGAAUUUUGGACAAUGGGCGCAAGCCUGAUCCAGCCAUGCCGCGUGCGGGAAGAAGGCCUUCGGGUUGUAAACCGCUUUUGUCAGGGAAGAAACGCUCUGGGCUAAUACCCCUGGGGUAAUGACGGUACCUGAAGAAUAAGCACCGGCUAACUACGUGCCAGCAGCCGCGGUAAUACGUAGGGUGCAAGCGUUAAUCGGAAUUACUGGGCGUAAAGCGUGCGCAGGCGGUUGUGCAAGACAGGUGUGAAAUCCCCGGGCUUAACCUGGGAACUGCACUUGUGACUGCACAGCUGGAGUGCGGCAGAGGGGGU
This 524-nucleotide ribosomal RNA is filed under the name uncultured bacterium. RNAcentral describes it as "bacterial SSU rRNA". It matches the Rfam family "Bacterial small subunit ribosomal RNA", at positions 143 to 661 of the family's 1533-position model. The record is from RNAcentral.